ACCCACAAUGCUUUGCAACAUUAUAGAAAAGGGAAGCGUGGCGUGCACGUUUCUCUUUUGUCACUGUCUAGUUGGUUAUGUGAAUUCUUGCUGUAACGGUUAACCUUUUUAAAAUUUAGGCAGAUAAUUUCCGUAUUAUGGCGCAAACAGGAGGGAUUUUUUUGUGCUUUGACAAAUGGUCGUGAACCCUGUACUGCCGUGCUUAUUUAAGAAGUAUUGCAUCGAGUACCAUGGCGGGCUAUUCCUAAACGACUUGCACGAAUGUGUUCUGCUGGAUGGAUUAAGCAGAAGAAAGCCAGAUCAACAGGGUAAUCCUGAUGAGGGGCUGAUUUUUCUCCCGAAUAUGCAUCUUGGAGGUCAAUUUUGCCGACUAAUCUUUUUGCAUGUCUGUUAAUAAAAUAUUUUUAUUUCAA
Long non-coding RNA from Brienomyrus brachyistius, 413 nucleotides. RefSeq lists it as uncharacterized. The transcript is spliced from 4 exons. The record is from RefSeq and is a predicted model, not a curated record. NCBI's taxonomy places the organism in Eukaryota, Metazoa, Chordata, Actinopteri, Osteoglossiformes, Mormyridae.